UACGUAGGGGGCAAGCGUUGUCCGGGAUAAUUGGGCGUAAAGGGCGUGUAGGCGGAUACAUAAGUCGGGCGUAAAAGGCGCGGGCUCAACCCGUGUAAGCGUUCGAAACGGUGUAUCUUGAGUGCAGUAGAGGAGAGCGGAAUUUCUGGUGUAGCGGUGGAAUGCGUAGAUAUCAGAAGGAACACCGGUGGCGAAGGCGGCUCUCUGGACUGUUACUGACGCUGAGGCGCGAAGGCGUGGGGAGCAAACAGGAUUAGAUACCCUGGUAGUCCACGCGGUAAACGAUGAGUGCUAGGUGUAGGGAUGCUCAGCAUCUUUGUGCCGAAGGAAACCCAUUAAGCACUCCGCCUGGGGAGUACGGUCGCAAGGCUGAA
This 374-nucleotide ribosomal RNA is filed under the name uncultured bacterium. RNAcentral describes it as "bacterial SSU rRNA". It matches the Rfam family "Bacterial small subunit ribosomal RNA", at positions 524 to 898 of the family's 1533-position model. The record is from RNAcentral.